RNAcentral lists this unclassified non-coding RNA (377 nucleotides) under uncultured Verticillium. RNAcentral describes it as "sequence contains ITS2". The stretch from base 1 to 154 matches the Rfam family "5.8S ribosomal RNA". Lineage: Eukaryota; Fungi; Ascomycota; Sordariomycetes; Hypocreales. The record is from RNAcentral.
AACUUUCGGCAAUGGAUCUCUUGGUUCUGGCAUCGAUGAAUAACGCAGCGAAAUGCGAUAAGUAAUGUUAAUUGCAGAAUUCAGUGAAUCAUCGAAUCUUUGAACGCACAUUGCGCCCGCCAGCAUUCUGGCGGGCAUGCCUGUUCGAGCGUCAUUUCAACCCUCGAGCUCCCUUUGGGGAGCCCGGCGUUGGGGACCGGCAGCUACCGCCGACCCCGAAAUACAGUGGCGGCCCGUCACGGCGACCUCUGCGUAGUAAUCCAACCUCGCACCGGGAACCCGACGCGGCCAUGCCGUAAAACACCCCAAGUCUGAACGUUGACCUCGGAUCAGGUAGGAAUACCCGCUGAACUUAAGCCUAUCAAUAAGCGGAGGCU